This 215-nucleotide long non-coding RNA is filed under the name Sorghum bicolor (sorghum). RNAcentral describes it as "long non-coding RNA (SBIC_LNC009575)". Lineage: Eukaryota; Viridiplantae; Streptophyta; Magnoliopsida; Poales; Poaceae. The record is from RNAcentral.
GUGUGAUCGUAGCGAUGCGUAGAAUCUUUUUAUAAACUUUUCAUACUAUUUUUAUAUGAUUGGUGUACUGUUCUAAUUGUAGCCUUGUUUGCUUCGUGUAUGUUUGUUGCCGUAUGUUUGUGAUCGAUGAUCGGAAUUAGUCGGUGAGCAAUUCGUGGUGGUCAAGAGUGCUUCAGUGAUCAAGAUCAGAGCCUUGGCAACUAGUAAGACCAGUG